AUUGAACGCUGGCGGCAUGCUUUACACAUGCAAGUCGAACGGUAACAGGCCGCAAGGUGCUGACGAGUGGCGAACGGGUGAGUAAUGCAUCGGAACGUGCCCAGUCGUGGGGGAUAACUACUCGAAAGAGUAGCUAAUACCGCAUACGAUCUAUGGAUGAAAGCGGGGGACCGUAAGGCCCCGCGCGAUUGGAGCGGCCGAUGUCAGAUUAGGUAGUUGGUGGGGUAAAGGCUCACCAAGCCAACGAUCUGUAGCUGGUCUGAGAGGACGACCAGCCACACUGGGACUGAGACACGGCCCAGACUCCUACGGGAGGCAGCAGUGGGGAAUUUUGGACAAUGGGCGCAAGCCUGAUCCAGCAAUGCCGCGUGCAGGAAGAAGGCCUUCAGGUUGUAAACUGCUUUUGUACGGAACGAAACGGCUCUGGUUAAUACCCGGGGCUAAUGACGGUACCGUAAGAAUAAGCACCGGCUAACUACGUG
Molecule: ribosomal RNA, 482 nt
Filed under: uncultured bacterium
Lineage: Bacteria
Description: partial 16S ribosomal RNA
Rfam family: Bacterial small subunit ribosomal RNA
Source: RNAcentral